UGGAUCCAGACUUUGAUUCCGGCUCAGGACGAACGCUGGCGGCGCGCCUAACACAUGCGAGUCGAACGAGCAAAGAGGAGCUUGCUUCUCUGAGCGAGUGGCGAACGGGUGAGUAACGCGUGAGGAACCUGCCUCAAAGAGGGGGACAACAGUUGGAAACGACUGCUAAUACCGCAUAAGCCCACGGGUCGGCAUCGACCAGAGGGAAAAGGAGCAAUCCGCUUUGAGAUGGCCUCGCGUCCGAUUAGCUAGUUGGUGAGGUAAUGGCCCACCAAGGCGACGAUCGGUAGCCGGACUGAGAGGUUGAACGGCCACAUUGGGACUGAGACACGGCCCAGACUCCUACGGGAGGCAGCAGUGGGGAAUAUUGCACAAUGGGGGAAACCCUGAUGCAGCGACGCCGCGUGGAGGAAGAAGGUCUUCGGAUUGUAAACUCCUGUUGUUGAGGAAGAUAAUGACGGUACUCAACAAGGAAGUGACGGCUAACUACGUGCCAGCAGCCGCGGUAAAACGUAGGUCACAAGCGUUGUCCGGAAUUACUGGGUGUAAAGGGAGCGCAGGCGGGAAGACAAGUUGGAAGUGAAAUCCAUGGGCUCAACCCAUGAACUGCUUUCAAAACUGUUUUUCUUGAGUAGUGCAGAGGUAGGCGGAAUUCCCGGUGUAGCGGUGGAAUGCGUAGAUAUCGGGAGGAACACCAGUGGCGAAGGCGGCCUACUGGGCACCAACUGACGCUGAGGCUCGAAAGUGUGGGUAGCAAACAGGAUUAGAUACCCUGGUAGUCCACACCGUAAACGAUGAUUACUAGGUGUUGGAGGAUUGACCCCUUCAGUGCCGCAGUUAACACAAUAAGUAAUCCACCUGGGGAGUACGACCGCAAGGUUGCAACUCAAAUGAAUUGACGGA
Molecule: ribosomal RNA, 903 nt
Filed under: uncultured Bacillota bacterium
Lineage: Bacteria; Bacillati; Bacillota
Description: bacterial SSU rRNA
Rfam family: Bacterial small subunit ribosomal RNA
Source: RNAcentral